CCUACGGGCGGCAGCAGUGGGGAAUAUUGCACAAUGGGGGAAACCCUGAUGCAGCGACGCCGCGUGAACGAAGACGGCCUUCGGGUUGUAAAGUUCUUUUAUGUGGGAAGAAGGAAGUGACGGUACCACAUGAAUAAGCCCCGGCUAACUACGUGCCAGCAGCCGCGGUAAUACGUAGGGGGCGAGCGUUGUCCGGAAUUACUGGGCGUAAAGGGCACGCAGGCUGUGCUUCAAGUCAGCUGUAAAAGGAUGCGGCUUAACCGUGUUAUGCAGUUGAGACUGAGGUGCUGGAGUACCGGAGAGGCAAGUGGAAUUCCCAGUGUAGCGGUGAAAUGCGUAGAUAUUGGGAAGAACAUCGGUGGCGAAGGCGACUUGCUGGACGGUAACUGACGCUGAGGUGCGAAAGCCAGGGUAGCGAACGGGAUUAGAUACCCGUGUAGUC
RNAcentral lists this ribosomal RNA (442 nucleotides) under uncultured bacterium. RNAcentral's name for it is "bacterial SSU rRNA". It matches the Rfam family "Bacterial small subunit ribosomal RNA", at positions 338 to 795 of the family's 1533-position model. The record is from RNAcentral.